RNAcentral lists this unclassified non-coding RNA (150 nucleotides) under soil metagenome. Its description in RNAcentral is "partial internal transcribed spacer 1". The record is from RNAcentral.
UAAUAAGUGUUUUAUGGCACUUUUUUAAAUCCAUAUCCACCUUGUGUGCAAUGUCAGUCGAUCUUCUUCAUGGAGAUUGACCCAAACAUCAACCUUUAUCUUUUAACACUUUGUCUGAAAAAAUAUUAUGAAUAAAACAAUUCAAAAAUA